Molecule: ribosomal RNA, 423 nt
Filed under: uncultured bacterium
Lineage: Bacteria
Description: partial 16S ribosomal RNA
Rfam family: Bacterial small subunit ribosomal RNA
Source: RNAcentral
UGGGGAAUAUUGCACAAUGGGCGCAAGCCUGAUGCAGCCAUGCCGCGUGUGUGAAGAAGGCCUUCGGGUUGUAAAGCACUUUCAGCGAGGAGGAAGGCGUUAAGGUUAAUAACCUUGGCGAUUGACGUUACUCGCAGAAGAAGCACCGGCUAACUCCGUGCCAGCAGCCGCGGUAAUACGGAGGGUGCAAGCGUUAAUCGGAAUUACUGGGCGUAAAGCGCACGCAGGCGGUUUGUUAAGUCAGAUGUGAAAUCCCCGAGCUUAACUUGGGAACUGCAUUUGAAACUGGCAAGCUAGAGUCUUGUAGAGGGGGGUAGAAUUCCAGGUGUAGCGGUGAAAUGCGUAGAGAUCUGGAGGAAUACCGGUGGCGAAGGCGGCCCCCCGUGGACAAAGACUGACGCUCAGGUGCGAAAGCGUGGGGCA